Molecule: long non-coding RNA, 1191 nt
Organism: Sebastes umbrosus (honeycomb rockfish)
Lineage: Eukaryota; Metazoa; Chordata; Actinopteri; Perciformes; Sebastidae
Exons: 3
Source: RefSeq, a predicted model, not a curated record
UCUCAGUGUCGCAGCAGACUUUUCAAAGUGAACCACGCGCUUAACCGAGGCUGGGUAAAAUCUCGAGUCAUCCCGCGCGCACAGCGCCCACCCUCGACGUCAUGGAGAAGUGCGCGUCAUUACGCGCGGCUCAGAUCCAACCCUUGUUGUUACUCUGAGAGAAACCUGCACCUACCGCACACACAAAGCAGGUGUCAUGCCAGGUGAAUCCUAGAGCGUCCAGGAACUUGUCCCCGGCCUCGAUGGGGAAGUCACAGCCGUGGCAACUGGACCCGAACAGUACGGCUGCCCGUCCUCCAUGUGAAAUGUGCUGCCCCUGAUUGGCUGUUGGCAGGCGACGCAGACGAAGCAAGACACGUGCCAGGUCUGUUUCAGGGCAUUCAUGACUUCCUGCAGAGAUAAUAGAAGAAAUAAAUGAGGAACAGCUUGUUUUUGAAGUUGUAAAACUCCAGGAUUUGAUUUCUUUGAAUGCCUUUAAAUCCAUUUUGAAAGACCUGGAGACAGAAUCAUUGGGGUGUCGGUGCUUAAACUGAUAUUUUGGAUGAAACUUUUUUUCUUGGGAUGUUAUAUAUUGUUUAUAGAAUAUGUACAUAUACAGUAUAUUGUAUACGUACAUAUUGUCUGUUCUUCUGUUUUGUGUCUGUUUACAAUCAUGUGUUUGUUCUUUUAACUUGUGCUGCUACCUUUCUUGACCAGGACUCCCUUGAAAAGGAGAUUUUUAAUCUCAACGGGAUCUAUCCUGUUUAAAUUAAGUUUAAAUAUAUAUAUUUUUUUUAAAGUUAAUAUUAUAGUACUGUAUAUAGUCCUCAUAUGAUCCAUCAAAUAACUUAAGGACAUUAAACAUUGUUUUUGUAAAUGAAACAAAGACUCCAAAGUUUUGACUUUGAAGAUAGGUGAAGACAUAUUUGUACAUUUUUUCUUAUAUUUUUUAUUUGUAUUAUUUAUUUAUUUUACUCUACAUAUACUGUGUUAUAUAUUGUAGCACUAUGUACAUCAUUUACAUUUUACAUAUUCCUUUAUUACUAUUUUUCCUAUAUUUCUUUAUGCUUAUAUAAAAGAGCAACUGUGAUGCCCAGGGCUCAAUAAAGUAUUUAUGGUUCUGAAUAUAUUGUUCUCUCAUAAUUAUCCUUUAGAUGACAACAGAUAAUGUACAUACAUUGGUUGUUUUAAUGGUUAAAUUCAAGUGUUAUC